AGAGUUUGAUCCUGGCUCAGAUUGAACGCUGGCGGCAUGCCUUACACAUGCAAGUCGAACGGCAGCACGGGAGCAAUCCUGGUGGCGAGUGGCGAACGGGUGAGUAAUAUAUCGGAACGUGCCCAGUCGUGGGGGAUAACGCAGCGAAAGCUGUGCUAAUACCGCAUACGAUCUAUGGAUGAAAGCGGGGGAUCGCAAGACCUCGCGCGAUUGGAGCGGCCGAUGUCAGAUUAGCUAGUUGGUGGGGUAAAGGCCCACCAAGGCGACGAUCUGUAGCUGGUCUGAGAGGACGACCAGCCACACUGGGACUGAGACACGGCCCAGACUCCUACGGGAGGCAGCAGUGGGGAAUUUUGGACAAUGGGCGCAAGCCUGAUCCAGCAAUGCCGCGUGCAGGAG
RNAcentral lists this ribosomal RNA (399 nucleotides) under uncultured bacterium. RNAcentral's name for it is "bacterial SSU rRNA". It matches the Rfam family "Bacterial small subunit ribosomal RNA", at positions 8 to 409 of the family's 1533-position model. The record is from RNAcentral.